Molecule: ribosomal RNA, 441 nt
Filed under: uncultured bacterium
Lineage: Bacteria
Description: partial 16S ribosomal RNA
Rfam family: Bacterial small subunit ribosomal RNA
Source: RNAcentral
AACGAACGCUGGCGGCAGGCUUAACACAUGCAAGUCGAACGCAUCCUUCGGGGUGAGUGGCAGACGGGUGAGUAACGCGUGGAACGUGCCCUUCAGUUCGGGAUAACCCAGGGAAACUUGGGCUAAUACCGGAUACGUGCGAGAGCAGAAAGAUUUAUCGCUGAAGGAUCGGCCCGCGUCUGAUUAGCUAGUUGGUGGGGUAAUGGCCCACCAAGGCGACGAUCAGUAGCUGGUCUGAGAGGAUGAUCAGCCACAUUGGGACUGAGACACGGCCCAAACUCCUACGGGAGGCAGCAGUGGGGAAUAUUCGGAGAUGGACGAAAGUCUGACCGAGCGACGCCGCGUGAGGGAUGAAGGUUUUCGGAUCGUAAACCUCUUUUGCCAAGUCAUCGAGGCUUGGAGAAUAAGCACCUACAAACUACGUGCCAGCAGCCGCGGUAA